AUUUUUAAAGCGCCAGAACUUAAGGUGAGAUAUUAGAUAUAGAUUUAUUAUAAGUGAAGGUUGAGUAUUAGAUGAGUUUUACAAGGAAACUUGACUCACCUACGUUCGCUAAGUAAGUUCGACUAGCUAAAUCGAAGAUUUGGAAGCUCACUUGCACGCUGUGUAAGUUCGCAUUAAUCAAAUCAGAGAUUUGGAUGCUCACUUAAGUUGACGAGGUUGGGGAGUUAUCGAAACUUCGGCGGGUGCCCCACGGUAUAGCACUACCGUUAACAACUGGCAAAACUUUAAAGUGAUUUAAAGUACAAAUCCAGU
Molecule: non-coding RNA, 312 nt
Filed under: uncultured Clostridium sp.
Lineage: Bacteria; Bacillati; Bacillota; Clostridia; Eubacteriales; Clostridiaceae
Description: glmS glucosamine-6-phosphate activated ribozyme
Rfam family: glmS glucosamine-6-phosphate activated ribozyme aptamer
About the family: This entry contains a glucosamine-6-phosphate activated ribozyme that is found in the mRNA for GlmS. GlmS is an enzyme that uses fructose-6-phosphate and glutamine to generate glucosamine-6-phosphate.
Source: RNAcentral